Microcebus murinus (gray mouse lemur) is the source of this 1040-nucleotide long non-coding RNA. RefSeq lists it as uncharacterized. Lineage: Eukaryota; Metazoa; Chordata; Mammalia; Primates; Cheirogaleidae. The record is from RefSeq and is a predicted model, not a curated record.
ACGACUCCUGUAAUCAAGACUCCAGGUACCACCUUCCUGCCUCAAGCACUCCCUAGCCUGUGCAGUGCAGGCAUCCAGGGGGGGUGCACCGAUUACCUCACAAAACAUCUCUAUUUCAUAGCCCAGAAAGUUCUACAGCUCCCAUGACGUUCUUCAAAGAGCCUUAGUGAGAACUCUCAUCCUAGCAGACGUCCUUGACCAGGAGGCCAGCUACCUGCAAAUUGAUGAAGCGAUUAGAAUAAUCAUUUGUGACCGAUGUAGGGCGAUGGAGCCCCCAAGGAGCUCGGCGACAUAAAUGCCUCUGCUCCCUUUCUGCUUAGCAAGCAGGUCCAUGGCAGCUGAGAAGUCAUUAGAGUUGCAAAAAGAAGAAAUGAUAUUAUUAUCACUUACCUGUCAAGUAGAGAAAUUAGAAGACUUUUCGGUUUCUCUAAAGCAGAAUUUUGAGGAGAUCUCCAGCUUCCUCUGCAAAGCUACUUCCACAACAGCUGCAACCCACCGAAGAACAUUCCGUUUAUUUCAAGUGUGGGCCUUUGAGCAUUUCGACCCUCACUGCACAGCCCAUGAUUUCGCAGAGCUGCUGAGAACUUCCACUUUACUCUUCCGCCCGGAUUCCUCCCAGUCCCCCGUGGAAAAAUGAUCCUUGAAGUUGCUGCUUGGCGUCGGAUCUGUGGAGCGAGCGUACUCCUCCCGGCCCCGUCGCCGGCGGAGCGGAUGGCAGGGGACCCGAGGCCGGGUAUUAGGAGGCGCCGCCUUUCAGCAGCGAGGAGCGGGGAGCACGGGGGCCCGCGGCGGCGACGGCGGCAGCGGCGACAGCAGCACCGCGGCGGCGGCCGUGAGGGCCCUGCGGCUGCAGCCGGCUCCGGAGACGCUGUCCAUGCCCCUGGUGCUGAAGCAGGGGACUGGAACCCCGAGCCCAGCGCUUCCCUCCACCGGCGAAUCCGAGCCGCUUCCUUCUCUUCCAGCCUUCCCCUCCUUCCCUCUGGUGGAUUUAUUUUUUGGUAGAGGUUAAUUGUUUCUCCAAAAUAAUAGUCUCAUGCUUA